GAUGAACGCUAGCGGCAGGCCUAACACAUGCAAGUCGAGGGGUAGAACACUUCGGUGUUUGAGACCGGCGCACGGGUGCGUAACGCGUAUGCAAUCUACCUUGUACAGGGGAAUAGCCCAGAGAAAUUUGGAUUAAUGCCCCAUAGUAUAUAACCUUCGCAUGUUGGUUAUAUUAAAGUUCCAACGGUACAAGAUGAGCAUGCGUCCCAUUAGUUAGUUGGUAAGGUAACGGCUUACCAAGACGAUGAUGGGUAGGGGUCCUGAGAGGGAGAUCCCCACACUGGUACUGAGACACGGACCAGACUCCUACGGGAGGCAGCAGUGAGGAAUAUUGGUCAAUGGUCGCAAGACUGAACCAGCCAUGCCGCGUGCAGGAAGACGGUCCUAUGGAUUGUAAACUGCUUUUAUACAGGAAGAAACCCUCCCACGUGUGGGAGCUUGACGGUACUGUAGGAAUAAGGAUCGGCUAACUCCGUGCCAGCAGCCGCGGUAAACA
This 496-nucleotide ribosomal RNA is filed under the name uncultured bacterium. RNAcentral's name for it is "bacterial SSU rRNA". It matches the Rfam family "Bacterial small subunit ribosomal RNA", at positions 28 to 525 of the family's 1533-position model. The record is from RNAcentral.